RNAcentral lists this long non-coding RNA (1160 nucleotides) under Setaria viridis. RNAcentral's name for it is "long non-coding RNA (SVIR_LNC006166)". Lineage: Eukaryota; Viridiplantae; Streptophyta; Magnoliopsida; Poales; Poaceae. The record is from RNAcentral.
CUGAGUUCGACUUCCCAUGGGGACGAAUUAAAAAAGCCUGGUUAGAGCACACAAGUAGCAACCAGCCCACACAAGUAGUAACCAGCCCCAAGUUUGACUUCCCAUGGGAACGAAUUAAAUAGGUUUAAAAUAAAUAAAAUUAUAAAAAAAUAGCUAGGGAUUUUCCCUGCUGACUUCGUCAAAAAAGAAAUUACAAACGAAAUGGUCUUUACAGACUUUAUGCUAAUGUAAAAAGAUUACAUUUAUUCUUUUUCUAUGAUGCUCUGACACUUGACACUACCGUAGCACUCCCUCCGUUUCAAAUUAUAGGUCGUUUUGAUUUUUUAGUUUAUAGAUAUUAUUAUGCAUCUAGACAUAUACUAUAUACUAUAAGUGCACAGAAAAAACUACGUAAUUAGAAAAGUCAAAACGAAUAAGUAUUCAUGUACAGUACUGAUAACCAGGUGAAGUCACUUGCGUGCCUGAUUUAGCUUAAAGACGGAUGAUUGUGUGGGAGGGGAAAUUAUGAAACGAUCUAUUGUUAAUUUGUAUCUAAGCUUCGUGCGACCGAGUACUGGCAUGCUUGCAAGACCAGAACCAUGUAUAUAUACACAUGAAAGGGAUUGUUUUUGCUCAUGGAAGAUUGGAGAAUGUUUUCAUGGAAAGAAUUCAGAUACUUUCUCCGUCCCAAAAUACUAUUCAUUUUGAAUUUCUAUAUACAUAAAUUGACAUGUAUUUAGACAUAGUAUAUAUCUAUGUGUAUAUCAAAAGAUACUCCCUCCGUUCCGAAUUAUAGGUCGUUCUGAUUUUUUAGAUUCAUAGACUUUGUUAUGCACUUAGAUAUACCAUAUAUCUAUGCAUCUAGAAAAUUCAAAAUGACCUAUAAUUUACGAUGGAGGAGUAUGCUCUUAAAAAAUAAAAUGAACAAUAAUUUAGGAUGAAGACGGUAAGUAAUGACAAUGGAGAUGCAUGGAGAUGCCCUUGAGGCUGAGGGCAGGCAGGCUUUGGUGGAGUUUUCCCUGCCCCUGUCGUUACAGCCAUGAAAGGGGUCGGCUAGGCCCCAGCUGCUACACAAGUUGCAAGCACAAGAAUUAAGAGGGCAAUAUGUUUAUGUUCCCUAGCUAGAUGUUCUCUAGUUUCUGGGGUCAUUGUUGAUGCUUUGUCUUCUUCACAUGUACCUC